RNAcentral lists this long non-coding RNA (1299 nucleotides) under Phoenix dactylifera (date palm). Its description in RNAcentral is "long non-coding RNA (PDAC_LNC001546)". The record is from RNAcentral. Lineage: Eukaryota; Viridiplantae; Streptophyta; Magnoliopsida; Arecales; Arecaceae.
UCAGACAAGGAAUUUGGUUUGACAUCUCCCUAGUUUGCUCGGCUGAACGAACAGGUCUAAAUGGGUGGUAAGCCCGAAAUGUCACCCAAAACAGAAUCCAUUCUGUGAUGGAAAUACUAAUAAAUUAUUCUUCAACUCUGUAAUGUAACACUGUAGAUAGAGCGAGAAACAUAGCACAAUCAAAUUCAUAUGUAAAACAACCUAUCGCCCUGGACGCCCGUUUACUAGGAAGAUAAGAAUCAAAAAGGAUUGAACUACUAACUCAUUACUCAGAGGUGAAUCAUAUAACACCAAAAGCUGUGGUAUCUUGUGGACCUAACCCUCACAACAUAAACUGAAAGAUGCAAACCCUUCUCUUCAAAGUGGAUCAAGAAAAUUUCUUUCUUAAUAACUCCCCCAUGUUGCCUUCGCUGAUCAAAAUGAGGUGCUCUGAAAAGCAAAUAACAGGGUUGCUAAGAUAAUAACACAAAACAAAAACCUCGGUACUGAGAAUAAAGUUUCACAGAUUCUAAAUUAAGAUUGCAAAUGGAAAUUAGGAACACAAAGGUAUAUAAAUAAGAACUAUGAUAUUAGAAACAGACCUUUUCAGAAGGGCAAAUUUGUAAUCUACAGCACAAACUCGGCAACAGAACAAAUAAUAAAUUAACCUCCACAGUUUGAACAGGUAGUGCAGGAAAGAAUAGAAAUAUUAACUCCGCUAUCAAAGAUGACAAACCCCCUUUAUCAUUUCAUUCCUCCAAACUAUUUUCCAUUAUCAGAUCAAGAGUACCUUUGAGCAAGAAUGCCCCAAAUGCACAAGCUCUUCUGCAACGCUCAUGAGGUUGAAGAACCCCCUACAUAAAAAACAAAACAUACCUUCUCUCAUCCCCCCAAAAUGUCUCGUGCGCUCAAGGAAGUCAAACAAAUGGGAGAAGCUAACCAGGUCACUAAUGCAACAGGGAUGAAUGAGAUCGUGGAAAAUAGAUGAAACUAAGAAACUUGAUAUAGCAUAUCAGCUGCAAACCCAACAUAGUAAUGUGUUAUUUCCAACAUGCUGGACUCCUAAAGAAUUUGUGGAAGCAAGAAAGCACCAUCAUGGAAAACACUUUCUUAAUCCCAGUUAAUCAUACUUUCAGUGUUUAGAACAAAGAUUGACAAAUUAUAAAUUAAUCUUGAAAAUGGCCAACUAUAAAUAUGGACAAACCCUUCUACAUGGGCAAAAUCAUAACCUGCAGCAGAAGUUACCGCCACAGCACAAACCAUAUAGUAACUUUCACCAUUCCCCAUAAACAGCUAGUAUAGGAAAAAGUAGUAUAAUAC